Molecule: ribosomal RNA, 253 nt
Filed under: uncultured bacterium
Lineage: Bacteria
Description: partial 16S ribosomal RNA
Rfam family: Bacterial small subunit ribosomal RNA
Source: RNAcentral
UACGGAGGGCGCAAGCGUUAAUCGGAAUUACUGGGCGUAAAGCGCACGCAGGCGGUCUGUUAAGUCAGAUGUGAAAUCCCCGGGCUUAACCUGGGAACUGCAUUUGAAACUGGCAGGCUUGAGUCUUGUAGAGGGGGGUAGAAUUCCAGGUGUAGCGGUGAAAUGCGUAGAGAUCUGGAGGAAUACCGGUGGCGAAGGCGGCCCCCUGGACAAAGACUGACGCUCAGGUGCGAAAGCGUGGGGAGCAAACAGG